Molecule: ribosomal RNA, 253 nt
Filed under: uncultured bacterium
Lineage: Bacteria
Description: partial 16S ribosomal RNA
Rfam family: Bacterial small subunit ribosomal RNA
Source: RNAcentral
UACAGAGGGGGCAAGCGUUGUUCGGAAUUACUGGGCGUAAAGGGCGCGCAGGCGGCAGACCAAGUCAGGCGUGAAAGCCCCGGGCUUAACCUGGGAGGUGCGUCUGGGACUGGUAUGCUAGAGUUCGGGAGAGGAGAGUGGAAUUCCCAGUGUAGAGGUGAAAUUCGUAGAUAUUAGGAAGAACACCAGUGGCGAAGGCGGCUCACUGGUCCGGUACUGACGCUGAGGUGCGAAAGCGUGGGGAGCAAACAGG